Molecule: ribosomal RNA, 304 nt
Filed under: uncultured bacterium
Lineage: Bacteria
Description: partial 16S ribosomal RNA
Rfam family: Bacterial small subunit ribosomal RNA
Source: RNAcentral
CAGCAGCCGCCACGGGAAUACGGAGGGAGCUAGCGUUGUUCGGAAUUACUGGGCGUAAAGCGCGCGUAGGCGGUUACUCAAGUCAGAGGUGAAAGCCCGGGGCUCAACCCCGGAACUGCCUUUGAAACUAGGUGACUAGAAUCUUGGAGAGGUCAGUGGAAUUCCGAGUGUAGAGGUGAAAUUCGUAGAUAUUCGGAAGAACACCAGUGGCGAAGGCGACUGACUGGACAAGUAUUGACGCUGAGGUGCGAAAGCGUGGGGAGCAAACAGGAUUAGAUACCCGGGUAGUCCCUGUCUCUUAUAC